Molecule: long non-coding RNA, 386 nt
Organism: Brassica oleracea var. oleracea
Lineage: Eukaryota; Viridiplantae; Streptophyta; Magnoliopsida; Brassicales; Brassicaceae
Exons: 3
Source: RefSeq, a predicted model, not a curated record
CGUCAGCCUUGGGUGAUUGGUGUCCAGGAGCAGAUCGAAAGCUUGACUAAGCGUCUGGAGGAGGCUGAGGAGGUGAUGAAGUUCGUACCGAGUCUGAAAAACCAGAUUGAGACACUAGAGGCACAGGCUAAAGGGCUCACUCGGCAGGUUGAUCGCCUCACUGCGGAGGUUUAUAACCUCACGGUGCAAGUAGCUGACCUGGAGAAGCUCUGCUUCGAAUAACCACCAAAGGUCACGGGUUGGAAGGCCAGGGUGUUGCAGGUCACGGGUUGGAAGGUUGCGGGGUGUUUCAGGUGAAGGAUUUUGUUUGUUUCUAUAUGUUAUUUGCGGAUACUUUAAGCCACGGGUAGUAGGACUUUAUGUCAAUUUUUAAUCCCGGAUGUAAA